This is a non-coding RNA of Deltaproteobacteria bacterium GWB2_55_19, 42 nucleotides long. NCBI's taxonomy places the organism in Bacteria, Deltaproteobacteria. The record is from Rfam.
AAAAAGGCCCCUUUCGGGGCCUUUUUCAUAAAAACUAUUUUU